RNAcentral lists this ribosomal RNA (432 nucleotides) under Patagoneta antarctica. RNAcentral's name for it is "partial large subunit ribosomal RNA". It matches the Rfam family "Bacterial large subunit ribosomal RNA", at positions 1842 to 2600 of the family's 2925-position model. Lineage: Eukaryota; Metazoa; Arthropoda; Arachnida; Araneae; Linyphiidae. The record is from RNAcentral.
UUUAUAAUAAAUAAAAUCUGCUCCAUGUUGAUAUAAAUAGCCGCAAUACUUACAUUGUGCUAAGGUAGCAUAAUCAUUAGUCUUUUAAUUAAAGACCUGUAUGAAUGAUUUAACAAUUUAAUUUCUUUUUUAAUCAAAAUAUUUUAAUUUAAACUAAACAUAAAAAUGUUUUUAUAGAUAAAAAAGACGAUAAGACCCUAUUGAACUUUACUUAAGUUUAGCUGGGGAAGCUAAUUAAAAACUAUUUUAAUUAUAAUUAUAAUUAAAAUUUCCAAUUUAAUUGAAAUUAAAAAAGUUACCAUAGGGAUAACAGCGUAAUAUAUUUUUAAAGCUCUUAUUAGAAAAUAUGGUUACGACCUCGAUGUUGAAUUAAUUUAACUUUUAAACGCAAUUGUAUAAAAAGUAGGUCUGUUCGACCCAUAAAUAAUUACA